GCCGGGCAUGGUGGCUCAUGCUUGUAAUCCCAGCACUUUGGGAGGCUGAGGCAGGUGGAUCACCUGAGGUCAGGAGUUCUAGACCAGCCUGGCCAACAUAGUGAGACCCCGUCUCUA
Molecule: unclassified non-coding RNA, 117 nt
Organism: Macaca fascicularis (crab-eating macaque)
Lineage: Eukaryota; Metazoa; Chordata; Mammalia; Primates; Cercopithecidae
Rfam family: Metazoan signal recognition particle RNA
About the family: The signal recognition particle (SRP) is a universally conserved ribonucleoprotein.
Source: Ensembl